CUUCACAUAACAUUAGUCUUAGAUUUUAUCUCGAGCUCCAUUAAAAAAUAAACAAAAUAGUCGGAAAAGAAGCCAUUGAUUGGAUAGGAAUUCAUUGAAUAGAGUUCAAUUAUCUGUACGGAAUACUGGAGAUGAUAUCAGCAACCGGUGCUUCUCCUAGGAACUGCCGCCACUGUCCGCCCUUUUUCCCUCUCCCCUCCCGCUUUCGAUGCCGACCACUACACAUAUCUUUUGCUUAUAAACUCUUCCCUCUUACCGAUUAC
This 263-nucleotide long non-coding RNA is filed under the name Gossypium barbadense (sea-island cotton). RNAcentral describes it as "long non-coding RNA (GBAR_LNC003715)". The record is from RNAcentral. Lineage: Eukaryota; Viridiplantae; Streptophyta; Magnoliopsida; Malvales; Malvaceae.